CCCUUAGAUGUUCUGGGCCGCACACGCGCUACACUGAAGGAGGCAGCGUGUACUCCUGGAUCGAAAGAUUUGGGUAACCCGCGAAUCUCCUUCGUGCUAGGGAUUGAGGUUUGCAAUUAUCCUUCAUGAACGAGGAAUUCCCAGUAAGUGCAAGUCAUAAGCUUGCGCUGACUACGUCCCUGCCCUUUGUACACACCGCCCGUCGCUACUACCGAUUGAAUGAUUUAGUGAGGACUUCGGACUGGGACCGAUGCGGCUUUCGGGCUGCGUCGGUAUUCUUGAAAGAUGUCCAAACUGUAUCAUUUAGAGGAAGUAAAAGUCGUANCA
Molecule: ribosomal RNA, 327 nt
Filed under: uncultured eukaryote
Lineage: Eukaryota
Description: partial 18S ribosomal RNA
Rfam family: Eukaryotic small subunit ribosomal RNA
Source: RNAcentral